AGAACGAACGCUGGCGGCAGGCUUAACACAUGCAAGUCGAACGCGUGUAGCAAUACACGAGUGGCGCACGGGUGAGUAACGCGUGGAUAUCUGCCUUUUGGUUCGGAAUAACCCCGGGAAACUGGGGCUAAUACCGGAUGGUUCCUACGGGAUAAAGAUUUAUCGCCAAAAGAUGAGUCCGCGUACGAUUAGCUAGUUGGUGAGGUAAUGGCUCACCAAGGCGACGAUCGUUAGCUGGUCUGAGAGGACGAUCAGCCACACUGGGACUGAGACACGGCCCAGACUCCUACGGGAGGCAGCAGUGGGAAUAUUGGACAAUGGGGGCAACCCUGAUCCAGCCAUGCCGCGUGAGUGAUGAAGGCCUUCGGGUUGUAAAGCUCUUUUGGCGGGACGAUGAUGACGGUACCCGCAGAAUAAGCCCGGCUAACUUCGACGCCAGUAGCCGC
Molecule: ribosomal RNA, 446 nt
Filed under: uncultured bacterium
Lineage: Bacteria
Description: SSU rRNA
Rfam family: Bacterial small subunit ribosomal RNA
Source: RNAcentral